This 253-nucleotide ribosomal RNA is filed under the name uncultured bacterium. RNAcentral's name for it is "partial 16S ribosomal RNA". It matches the Rfam family "Bacterial small subunit ribosomal RNA", at positions 524 to 776 of the family's 1533-position model. The record is from RNAcentral.
GACGAGGGAUCCUAGCGUUGUUCGGAAUCACUGGGCGUAAAGCGUUUGUAGGCGGCUCCGUAAGUCGGGUGUGAAAUCCCACGGCUCAACCGUGGAAGUGCAUUCGAAACUGCAGAGCUUGAAUAUGGUAGAGGAGAGUAGAAUACCUGGUGUAGUGGUGAAAUACGUAGAUAUCAGGUGGAAUACCGGUGGCGAAGGCGACUCUCUGGACCAAUAUUGACGCUGAGAAACGAAAGUGCGGGGAUCAAACAGG